Non-coding RNA from Blautia sp. CAG:52, 108 nucleotides. The record is from Rfam. NCBI's taxonomy places the organism in Bacteria, Bacillati, Bacillota, Clostridia, Lachnospirales, Lachnospiraceae.
UAAAUAGAACCGGGGAGCUUAUGUGAUAGGCUGAGAGGAAGUUGAAAACUUUGACCCGUAUACCUGAUUUGGAUAAUGCCAACGUAGGAACGUUAUGUAAGAGAGUCU